UACGUAGGGUGCUAGCGUUGUCCGGAUUUACUGGGCGUAAAGGGCGCGUAGGCGGCCACCGCAAGUCACUUGUGAAAUCUCCGGGCUUAACCCGGAAAGGUCAACUGAUACUGCGGGGCUAGAGUGCAGAAGGGGCAACUGGAAUUCUCGGUGUAGCGGUGAAAUGCGUAGAUAUCGAGAGGAACACCUGCGGCGAAGGCGGGUUGCUGGGCUGACACUGACGCUGAGGCGCGAAAGCCAGGGGAGCGAACGGG
Molecule: ribosomal RNA, 254 nt
Filed under: uncultured bacterium
Lineage: Bacteria
Description: partial 16S ribosomal RNA
Rfam family: Bacterial small subunit ribosomal RNA
Source: RNAcentral